AGCAUGAACCUGAGGUGCCGCUAUGC
RNAcentral lists this non-coding RNA (26 nucleotides) under Homo sapiens (human). The record is from RNAcentral. Lineage: Eukaryota; Metazoa; Chordata; Mammalia; Primates; Hominidae.